CAGUAGCCGCGGUAAAACGUAGGGUGCAAGCGUUAAUCGGAAUUACUGGGCGUAAAGCGUGCGCAGGCGGUUAUAUAAGACAGAUGUGAAAUCCCCGGGCUCAACCUGGGAACUGCAUUUGUGACUGUAUAGCUAGAGUACGGCAGAGGGGGAUGGAAUUCCGCGUGUAGCAGUGAAAUGCGUAGAUAUGCGGAGGAACACCGAUGGCGAAGGCAAUCCCCUGGGCCUGUACUGACGCUCAUGCACGAAAGCGUGGGGAGCAAACAGGAUUAGAUACCCCGUUAGUCCCUGUCUCUUAUAC
This 301-nucleotide ribosomal RNA is filed under the name uncultured bacterium. RNAcentral describes it as "partial 16S ribosomal RNA". It matches the Rfam family "Bacterial small subunit ribosomal RNA", at positions 509 to 807 of the family's 1533-position model. The record is from RNAcentral.